Long non-coding RNA from Hemiscyllium ocellatum (epaulette shark), 525 nucleotides. RefSeq lists it as uncharacterized. The transcript has 3 exons. Lineage: Eukaryota; Metazoa; Chordata; Chondrichthyes; Orectolobiformes; Hemiscylliidae. The record is from RefSeq and is a predicted model, not a curated record.
ACCUCAAGACAUCCUAAAGCAUUUCACUGACAGGAAGACAACUUAAAAUCUGGUCACUACGGAGCAGAGGGUGACAGAGCGGAGGUGAUGUGGAGACCAGGAGGUACCAGGAAGAUGUCAGAUCGUCCUUCCUGUUUGUGAACCCACGGACAGUGACUGAUCCCGAUGGAGCUCCCGGCCGUGCGCUCAGAUCCUGUGUGGACCAGCUUCCGGGAAUAUUCAUUGUCAUCUUCCACCUCUCCUUAUUCCAGUGUGAGGUUCCCACCUGCUUCAAGGAGACCACUAUCAUCUUGGUGCCACAGAAACAUCCGACAGCAUGCCUUACUGACUCCCGCCGAGUGGUUCGGACACCCCUCGUCCUGAAAUCCUUUGAAAGGUUAGCAACUGCAGCCUCCCAGAUUGCCUUGAUCCACGACAACUCGCCCAUCACCACAACAGGUUCACAGCAGACGCCACCGCUCUAGCCCUCAGCUAGACAAAGGCAUUCGGCUUGAUCUUCCUCCUGUUCUGACUCACAGCUGCUCC